This 253-nucleotide ribosomal RNA is filed under the name uncultured bacterium. Its description in RNAcentral is "partial 16S ribosomal RNA". It matches the Rfam family "Bacterial small subunit ribosomal RNA", at positions 524 to 776 of the family's 1533-position model. The record is from RNAcentral.
UACGAAGGGGGCUAGCGUUGUUCGGAAUUACUGGGCGUAAAGCGUGCGCAGGCGGUGAUGUAAGACAGGUGUGAAAUCCCCGGGCUUAACCUGGGAACUGCAUUUGUGACUGCAUAGCUAGAGUACGGUAGAGGGGGAUGGAAUUCCGCGUGUAGCAGUGAAAUGCGUAGAUAUGCGGAGGAACACCGAUGGCGAAGGCAAUCCCCUGGACCUGUACUGACGCUCAUGCACGAAAGCGUGGGGAGCAAACAGG